Molecule: ribosomal RNA, 404 nt
Filed under: uncultured bacterium
Lineage: Bacteria
Description: bacterial SSU rRNA
Rfam family: Bacterial small subunit ribosomal RNA
Source: RNAcentral
UGGGGAAUAUUGGACAAUGGGGGCAACCCUGAUCCAGCCAUGCCGCGUGAAUGAUGAAGGCCUUAGGGUUGUAAAGUUCUUUUGCCAGGGAAGAUAUUGACGGUACCUGGAGAAUAAGCUCCGGCUAACUUCGUGCCAGCAGCCGCGGUAAUACGAAGGGAGCUAGCGUUGUUCGGAAUCACUGGGCGUAAAGCGCGCGUAGGCGGCUUUUCAAGUCAGGGGUGAAAUCCCACAGCUUAACUGUGGAACUGCCUUUGAAACUGUAAAGCUGGAAUGCAAGAGGGGAUAGCGGAAUUCCUAAUGUAGAGGUGAAAUUCGUAGAUAUUAGGAGGAACACCGGUGGCGAAGGCGGCUAUCUGGAUUGCAAUUGACGCUGAGGCGCGAAAGCAUGGGGAUCAAACAGG